RNAcentral lists this ribosomal RNA (465 nucleotides) under uncultured bacterium. RNAcentral's name for it is "partial 16S ribosomal RNA". It matches the Rfam family "Bacterial small subunit ribosomal RNA", at positions 338 to 795 of the family's 1533-position model. The record is from RNAcentral.
CCUACGGGAGGCAGCAGUGGGGAAUAUUGCGCAAUGGGCGAAAGCCUGACGCAGCGACGCCGCGUGAGGGAUGAAGGUUUUCGGAUCGUAAACCUCUGUCAGAAGGGAAGAAGUUGCAUGGGGCCAAUCACCUGUGCAUUGACGGUACCUUCAAAGGAAGCACCGGCUAACUCCGUGCCAGCAGCCGCGGUAAUACGGAGGGUGCGAGCGUUAAUCGGAAUUACUGGGCGUAAAGCGCACGUGGGGUGUAUGUCAAGUCACGGGGGAAAUCCCACGGCUCAACCGUGGAACUGCCUUUGAAACUGGCAAACUGGAGUAUGUGAGAGGGUGGCGGAAUUCCUGGUGUAGGAGUGAAAUGCGUAGAUAUAUGGAAGAACACCAGUGGCGAAGGCGGCCGCCUGGCCUGUUGCUGACGCUGAGGCACGAAAGCGUGGGGAGCAAAUAGGAUUAGAUACCCCAGUAGUC